Nematostella vectensis (starlet sea anemone) is the source of this 951-nucleotide long non-coding RNA. RefSeq lists it as uncharacterized. The record is from RefSeq and is a predicted model, not a curated record. The transcript is spliced from 2 exons. NCBI's taxonomy places the organism in Eukaryota, Metazoa, Cnidaria, Anthozoa, Actiniaria, Edwardsiidae.
UUGAAUAGACUCUAAUAACAGGUUUGCUCUUUUUUUAUUUUGCAAUACGGAUCUUGGUGUGUAAAUACGAUAGUUACAACUACCACGUGUCAAUUAAGCUAUUUUCCACGUUUUGAUCGCGAUAUCAUUUUGGAAAAAAAACACCACAAGUUUAAAAUUGAAUGAAGUGAACUAACUGCGGUGAAGAGAUUUUCGUGAUCAUCUAAAGGGAGGAAUAACGGCGAGUUGCUGUUUCGCAGCGUAUAAAACUCAUUUUAUAACAGGCCGGAACAUUAUAAAACACGAAGAAACAAAGAAAACAAAGAAUCGUGGCGUGACAGAGGACUCUAACAAACAGCAGACAGGUGCUGCGUAUGUGGUUUAUUGACACAACAGGCUUUACCCUGGCCCUUAUUGGCGAUCUCACAAAGAAGACAACCGUGCUUCGCAAACAUGCUAUGGAUGAUAGGUGAAAAUCUAUGGUUGUUUAUGUUUGAAACAGCGUUUGAUCUGUGUCCUAACGCUACACCAUUGUCCAGCCCCGUAAAAAGAGGUCACAUAAGGAAUGAGUAGUGGGCCUAUAAACAUCACCGAUUCAUGGUGGUAUGGGAUAUAAACGGCACAUGGACUUGAUUGCUAACUACACAGCUGCUAUAACUUUUUCUAAAAUAGCCGAGAGAAGGAAUAGUGAAGCAGACGUGAUUGCUCAUGCGUGACCAGGUUUGUCCAGUUAAUAAAAUUUUGCUCAAAAGCGGGAGCAGAAGAAAAAUCACAGCCAGCCUAUAAUUCACAUAUUUUUUUUACAGUUAUUGCCUCCUCAUUGUUUACUUAUUGCCUUUGCUGAACUUCUUAUUUCUAGCUACGAUCUCAACAGGAAAAACUAUUAGCAGGUUACAAGUAGAGAAGAUCUCAGAAAAAUAUUUCCUCUUUGUGGGAUUAACAGGUGGAAUAAAUCUUAUUAAAAAAAAAAAA